UGUCCAACAAAGGAGGAUGCAGUCAUCGAUACCCAGGAAUUGGUAAAGUUGCCUUCGUUAAAGACCUCAUGACUGGAAAGAUACCAACCAAAAACUUCAAAUGUUCGCGAUUUGGAGCUUCAAUUGCGCCUGGACUAGGAUGGAAUAAGAUGAACCGAUGUUUUAAGCAACCUUGUCAAAAGGGUUUUGCCUAUAUUUCUAAUUAUCAUGUCGAUACAUCAGGCUCGUACAGCUACAGUGUUGUGUCUGAACGUUCCGGAAUUCAGGACAAUCAAACAUCAUUUAUUGGCUGUGAUCACGGA
Molecule: long non-coding RNA, 302 nt
Organism: Dendronephthya gigantea
Lineage: Eukaryota; Metazoa; Cnidaria; Anthozoa; Malacalcyonacea; Nephtheidae
Exons: 3
Source: RefSeq, a predicted model, not a curated record